RNAcentral lists this transfer-messenger RNA (365 nucleotides) under Thermoleophilia bacterium. It matches the Rfam family "transfer-messenger RNA". Rfam says of the family: Bacterial tmRNA, also known as 10Sa RNA or SsrA, is named for its dual tRNA and mRNA-like properties. Its role is to liberate the mRNA from a stalled ribosome. To accomplish this part of the tmRNA is used as a reading frame that ends in a translation stop signal. The record is from Rfam by way of RNAcentral. Lineage: Bacteria; Bacillati; Actinomycetota; Thermoleophilia.
GGGGACGACAUGGCUUCGACGUGGUCGGUUCGCUGGGGUGGUUGCGAGUCGAGGUGCCGGAGGCCUCGUAAAACCCCGGCAACACCAUAAGUGCGAACACGCACAAUUACCGUCUCGCUGCUUAGCCGAAACUAGGCAGUAGACCUUCGCUCCCGGAGCCCGCGCCGGGAACCAGCGGAGUCAGAAGCGGGAUCACCCCCGGGAGGCCCGUCCGCGCCGAGCGGGGGAAAAUCCAAGCGGACUGGCCCCUGACAACCCUGCCGGUGACGGCGAGUCAGGGGCGAGAUUAAGAGCACCGGACACACUCGUAGACGCUGCCCUUCGCGCGAUCGCGGACGUGGGUUCGAUUCCCACCGUCUCCACUG